This 2760-nucleotide long non-coding RNA is filed under the name Gossypium barbadense (sea-island cotton). RNAcentral's name for it is "long non-coding RNA (GBAR_LNC020773)". Lineage: Eukaryota; Viridiplantae; Streptophyta; Magnoliopsida; Malvales; Malvaceae. The record is from RNAcentral.
UCCUCCUUGAGUCUGGUCGGAUAGAUGGUCCCUCAGGGAUUGAUUAUUAUGAACCACAUGCGGAUGAUCCACCGUCAUCCCAAAGUUGGUCCAAACCGGUUUACAUUGCUUUGUCUGGAUCCGCAAGAUGAGCAUAAGGAGCUUCUGGACGAUAACCCACCUAAACGUGCAGAACCAUUUUGACCCAUUCCUCCAUUAGUAAUUCUAUAGCUGUACAUACUGUCAUGCUUGAGGACAUAUAUUGCACACAGCAAUAGCAGUCAAAGCAGGUCAGUCACUUACAAUAAUAGCAGGAUUGUAUGAAGGCAUAUUUACUGCAGUUGUGCCAGAACUUUCAUCUUUCGUCACCAGUUCGCACUACUAACCUAGAGCCUCUCGAUCAUGAUAUUCCUCGCAAUGUCGAUUAGUGAUUCUACCUAGUUUUAUCUUCUAUUUAUCGUUCUUUUUAUUUUUAUUUGUACUUUUUUAUUGUUAUUUAUUUUUCUUCUUUUCCUGAUUGUUAUAUUUUUGAUGCACUUUAUUUUUAUUGUUAUUGUUAUUGUUAUUGUUAUUUCAAUUGUUUUUCUGUUUAUUCUGUUUUCUUUUUAUCUUAUCUUACUUUUGUCUAUUUUCUUAUUACUAUGCAUGGAAUGAAGUAAUUAAUUUAGGGUCUCUUAUAUUUUUAGAUUUCACUAUCUCUGCCAAUUUAUCCAAAUUUAGGGCAGUUCCAAUUCUCUUCCUCUCUUUCUUAUGAUACUUUGCUUAUUGUGAUUAAUUUUGUUUGUAUAUUGAGGGCGAUGUACAUCUUAAGUGUGGGGAGAAUUUGGUAUGUUAUGUGAUAUAGUCAUUGAAUUGUUGUUUGUGUUUAAAUAAUUUCCUUAAGUCUUAUAUUAGAGUUAAUUUUUCUAAAUUUGGAGUUUUUAUUGUUCUAUUUGGGAUUAAUUUGUGGAUUUUUAUGCUUGGUGUUAUUUAUACUUUAAGACACGAGAGAGUCAAGCAUGAUAAGUCAUUUUCAGAAAACUAUUAUUUUAGGUUGUCUCUCUGAACUACAGCAUUAUCUUAAAUUUUAAAUUUAUAAGUUUGACAUCAAAACCAUAAUUUUUUUUGUGAGCUUUUUAGCCUAUAGAGCAUUUACUUUUUCAUGCUCGUUUUAUUUUGGUUGUGAGUAUAUCAACUAGAUUUGUUAUUCUAGAACUUGUUUCGGUUAUACAUGUUGAGACCAAAUUAUCAAUUUAAUAUACGGAGAUGGUAAAGGCCCUUAGGGUUUAACCUUUAAACAAUUUACCUAUUGUAUUAUCCCCUAGUAAACCCUAUUGAUCCUAAUCCAUUUUUUUACUUAUCAAUCAUUCAUGUUAACCCAAAAACCACAUUAAUUUUGCAAAUCACCCUUUUUAUUGACUCCCUUUUUGUUUAGAUUCAAUUUGGUUAGUUGCUUGACUAUGAUUUAUCAUUUGUAUUGUCGAAUUUCUCUUGUUCUAGAAAAACCAAAAAAAAAAAAGGAAAAAAAUUUGAGUGAUCUUGAUCAAUUGAGAAAUUCACAUUUAGGUUAUAAACCUUACUAUCUUAUUUAAGCUUGAAUCGUUACUCUCACCUUUUGUAUAAAAGCUCACAUCUGCUCUUUAUUUCAAAUUGAUGUAAAUUCUUUUAAUUCAACAGAUGAUUUUUUUGGUUUGGUAACCUAUCAAUUCGACUCUCGAUUGUAAACACCUUUUAUGACUUUUUUUUGUACCCUUAACCUAAGCCCCGUUACAAUCUCGUAAAGACCUCUUGAUUGGUGUGUAAUCUCAUUUCUAUAAUUGUGGAGAUUUGAUUUUUAAGCAAGUCUAUGAUAAUAACAUUUCUUGUUUGACUAUUGAGUGCACAUUACUUGAAAUUUAAACACCUUGAGUGCUUUGAGUGAACGUUAGUGAGGGUGUUAAUUCUUGUUGAGUUUGAAUCUCAGAUAAUUAUUGAGAUAGGAGAGACGCCUAUAUUUUUAAGCCUUAAAAUUUUCUACUUGGAUUGCUUGUGUUUUGUAGUGUCAUUUUAGUUUAAAUUUCCAAUGCAUAAUUAUCUAUAGAUUACCCUAAGACAUUGUUGAUGAAAACAAUAAAUUAAGGGAAGUUAACAUAAAUGUGGGUUGAGAAUUUUUCUUGAGGAUAAGUAAACAUUUAAGUUUGGGGAUAUUUGAUAAGUGCUAAAAGUAACAUGUUUUAACCUCAUUCUUAACACGUUUUGGGUUAUUAUCUGAUGUUAAUUGUGAAUUUUAUACUCCUAAUCUUUUAAAUUCAUGUUUAAAUACUUAAUAGAGCACUUGAAAGCAAAAUGAGCGAAAAAAUGAUCAAAAAUCGGAGCGUCGAAGCAAGUUGAAGGAGCCACACAAGCUACACCUUUUCAUACAAUCAGACCACACGGGUGUGUGAUAGACCGUGUCGAUUUCACAUGAUUGUGCAUUGAACAACAGAAAAUCACAAUUUUUAGGUUUUUCGGGCAUUCUAAUAUGUAUAUAUGACAAAAAUAAAAAGAUAUGAGAGGGGCAUCAAAGAAACUCAAGAAAACAACUCGAAAAAUAUCAUUGAAGUCGACUUUGAAGCAGAUUUCCAUCAAGAUUGAAGAUUCCUAGUUGAUUUCUUAAGAAGUUAUCAUGAGUUUCUUUUAUUCUUUCGAUUAUACUGUAUAUUUGAUUUUUCUCUUUUGAAGCAUGAACUAAUUUUCUAAAUACAUAUGAGAGAUAAACCCUACAAUGAAUUAUGUUGUUUAAUUUCUAUUUUACGCAAUAAAUACUUAGUUUCUUAUUCUCAA